This is a long non-coding RNA of Astatotilapia calliptera (eastern happy), 707 nucleotides long. The record is from Ensembl. NCBI's taxonomy places the organism in Eukaryota, Metazoa, Chordata, Actinopteri, Cichliformes, Cichlidae.
GAGAGGAUGGGAAUACCAGCAGCACAGAUGAGUGGGUCACCCAAGUUAUUGCGGCCCUCAGCUGAGAACCUUCCAAUUAUCAUGUCAGGCAUGGAGGAAACAUACACCAGUCUCAGAGCCUGGAAUAUUCGGAGAGUACCCACGGUUUUUGGACAUGCCAAGUCUGGCUGGACUUGGAGUUUGGCAAUCUUACAGGAGGAAAGGUGGAUCUCUUUUUGCGAAAAUGGGAAGCCAGUAUCAUUCCGAAGCUCAAAUCAGUAGCUGCCCUGGAAACAAGAACCCCCCCGCCAUGUGUUAACACACCUACUCCCACCAGUUGGUGCCAGUCGUUGCAGCCUUUUUUGCACUGCCUGGAACAAGUAUUGCAUCGCUUUGCAGUGAUCCUGAAGCAUCAUCCACAACACACCAACCCCAGCUGAUAUGCAUCGGUGAUCUAAAGAGGGCAACCAGGCAGUACAUCAUUGUUGCUAAGAAUGACAGAGUAACCAUUUCUCUGAAUGAUGGCCUGACGUGUGCUGUGGAUAAGCUUUUCAAACUGUACUGGGUAUGUAACUUGUCCUAUCCAGCACCACUUGGCUCCGUCUUCACCUUCUUUGAUUUUGUCUAUGACCUGCCGCUGUCCACCCAAAGGAAAACCAAAGUACUGGAGCUGAUUGCACAGAUUAAAGGAUGCAAGUAAAAUGUUCACCUGUCCAAAAUGUAGAGAG